CCGCCCCUGUUCUCAGCCACGGAGGCGGCCGCCGCCCCUGUCCCAUCCCCCCGUCGCCGCCCCUGUUCUCCAUUCCUACCGCCACCCCGUCCCCGCCGGCUCACCCAUCCACGCUCGCUCACCACCUCCAUCCCCUAUCUCCUGCAGCAUCGCCCUGGCCGGUGGCCGCGCCGCCGUACGGGAUUCGUCGCCCAGGACGACGUACACCACUCACACCUCACCGUCCGCGAGACAGGAGCUCUCCAACAACCUCCAGUUCACCCCCGUUGGACCACUGGGAUGAGGCAGAGGAGGUGGUGCUGGCUGUAGCUGCCGAGCGCGGCGUAUAAGCUGCGGGUGGCCAGUCCCGCCGCACGACUAGAGCGCCUCCGAGACGGCGUCCCCGGCACGGCUGCCCAGGGGUGGUGGGACGAGUAGAUCGCGAGCUUGCUGAUGGGAAUGUACACGACGGUGGACCUCGCCAACGUUGCGUGGAAGCUGUUUGACGAAAUGCCACAUGGGGCAUUGGUGGUGUUGAACAUGACGAAAUGCCACAUUCGGGCCGCCGGACGACUAGACUUCGACACUACAUGUCGGAGGCAGAGCGCCUCUCUGACGGCGUCCCGGUGCGGCGCCGGGGGCCGAGGAGGUGGACCCGGCGGUGUCGAAGCUGCAGGUGGCCGGGAUGCCGCGUGAUGCCGGCUCGAUGCGUCGGAGGUACUGGAGGCGUUGAACAUGAUAAUCAGUUUAGGUUGUUGUCGACUGAUGGAUUAGCAUCUGAAUCCUUAAACCGAAACUGUGCGUACAAGAGAGAUGGGUUUGCAGGUGAAGAAUGAUGGGUGUCUCAGGUAGAUGAGGAAGAACAGACAGUUGAGAAGAGCUUACAGGGUGAAGACCACACCGCUGUGGUAAGUUGCCGGAGCUAAUCAGUGAGGCGGUGCGGCCGAGUGAGGUCCUGUGCCGCGUGGAGGGGAGCAAUCAGAGGACGCCGGGUUGUCCUCUUGUUCAUUCCGAUGCGAACUUCCAGUCCUGUUAAAAGUGAGAAGAGAGAAAUGGGUACGAAUCGUGAUGCUUGCGGGAGGCAGUUGUCAUAUGUCCACUCCUCACGUACUAGUAUUUGUUUUGAUUUGUGUACGAUCGCGCUUAAUGGAAGUAGUUCCUCUAUUUUCGUUGAUGUAAACCGUCG
Molecule: long non-coding RNA, 1165 nt
Organism: Lolium rigidum
Lineage: Eukaryota; Viridiplantae; Streptophyta; Magnoliopsida; Poales; Poaceae
Exons: 2
Source: RefSeq, a predicted model, not a curated record